RNA transcript from Sceloporus undulatus (fence lizard), 1465 nucleotides. It is a transcript of the gene named brother of CDO-like, with no coding region annotated. The record is from RefSeq and is a predicted model, not a curated record. Lineage: Eukaryota; Metazoa; Chordata; Lepidosauria; Squamata; Phrynosomatidae. The transcript is spliced from 3 exons.
UUGGAUUAAUUUAGGCCUCUUUCCAGCUUCACAAUUACGGCACUUUCACGCCACUGUCUUGCCUGCAUCCUGCGGAAUCCUGGAAUCUGUAGUUUAGCAAGGGACUAGAAUUCCCAAUCUGAGAAUUCUGAAUACCACUUCCUAACCUUCACAUCCCCAGAUUACACAGGAUGGAUCCAUGGCAGUUAACUUGCAGUCAAACUGCUAUAAUUCAAAGAGACUAAAGAAGAAAUAAGCAAUUGAGGGGAGGAUAUCAUAGAGAACUUUACACAUGGUGUGGAAACAGUGGAAAGGGAUUUCUCAUAAUAUUAGAAUUAUGGUCAGCCAUUAAGUCUGAAUAAUGGGAGGUUUAGCACAAAUAAAAAUACUUGCAUACAGAAAAUAUAGUUACAUUUUGCCAUUUUCUACCACAAAAUGCAUCAAUGGCUGCCAACUAAAUCUGUUUCCCUUUUAUGUCAGCUUUCCUUGGCACAGAAAUCUUACGACUUACACAUCAUAAAUCUUGAUGUAGCCAUCAUCUGAAGCUGUAGUUGCCCAAACAAAAAGAGUGGGAAGACAACAUAUCAGAUGUUAAUCGGAUGUUUUAAAAAAGGUCACCCAGUCCUGGACCAGAUAACCAUUCUUUUCUCUACGGGCUUCCAGAUGACUCCACGCACCAGCUGCUUCAGCAAAGUAACAACUACCAUCAUCAUCAUGAACAAUUUGUUGGCCUGUGUAACUCGGUCCCACAAAGGAAGGGCAACUCCACUGUGAAAGACAUAAAAUAUCCUGUCUUCCAUACAGAUUCUACCUGCUGCCUUGGUUUAGUACCAGUUCAAGAUGUAGAGAGGACAGAUUUUUGCCAGGACAGAAGACAAACGUGAUCUCAAAAUCCAACAGACACAUGCUUGGGAGAAAGCCAGGAGACACACUUGAACAACCUACCACUGCAAGCUCCCUCAGAUACUCUUCCUAGCACCAGUUAGGGGACAAACUGCCUUACAAAGACUAUUCUGAACAGAGAAGUAGUUAUUUAUUUUUGGUAUUACAACUCUACAUAUUUAUGCACUUGUAAAUAGAUGUAUAUGUGCCUUCUAUAAUUAUAUGGAGAGAAGUAGCAUCAUGUGGGAAAGUUCAAGAAUAAAUCAAGGCUGGAACAAUAGCACCUACCUUUAUCACAGUGAAGACAAAGCAGCUUUCUGGUUUCCAUCUCAGUAGGGACCAAAGCAACAAAAAAAGCAUAGGGCCAAGGGCCCAUUUUCCAGCAGCAAGAAGGUGUAUCUCUAAUGAUGAUAUUGUGGACAAAGGUAAUUUUGUAGGAGGAAUCUUCACUGCAGGAUGCUGAAUGAAACAGAUAUAAAGUAAAAGUACAAUAUUUACCUGCAUUAAAAAGCAAUAUAUGCAUACACAGAUUCUGAGAUCGUGCCUGUAAUUUAAAAAAAUGCCAUGCUUCAUCAAAUAAAUAAAGAGUGCUUCUUUCCUUUGA